AUUGAACGCUGGCGGCAUGCCUUACACAUGCAAGUCGAACGGUAACGCGGGGCAACCUGGCGACGAGUGGCGAACGGGUGAGUAAUGCAUCGGAACGUGCCCAGUAGUGGGGGAUAGCCCGGCGAAAGCCGGAUUAAUACCGCAUACGACCUACGGGUGAAAGGGGGGGAUCGCAAGACCUCUCGCUAUUGGAGCGGCCGAUGUCAGAUUAGGUAGUUGGUGGGGUAAAGGCCUACCAAGCCAACGAUCUGUAGCUGGUCUGAGAGGACGACCAGCCACACUGGGACUGAGACACGGCCCAGACUCCUACGGGAGGCAGCAGUGGGGAAUUUUGGACAAUGGGCGCAAGCCUGAUCCAGCCAUGCCGCGUGCGGGAAGAAGGCCUUCGGGUUGUAAACCGCUUUUGUCAGGGAAGAAACGCUCCGAGAUAAUACCUCGGGGUAAUGACGGUACCUGAAGAAUAAGCACCGGCUAACUACGUGCCAGCAGCCGCAGUAA
This 498-nucleotide ribosomal RNA is filed under the name uncultured bacterium. RNAcentral's name for it is "partial 16S ribosomal RNA". It matches the Rfam family "Bacterial small subunit ribosomal RNA", at positions 29 to 523 of the family's 1533-position model. The record is from RNAcentral.